UACGUAGGGUGCAAGCGUUGUCCGGAAUUAUUGGGCGUAAAGAGCUCGUAGGCGGUGUGUCACGUCGGCCGUGAAAACCUGCAGCUUAACUGUGGGCGUGCGGUCGAUACGGGCAUCACUGGAGUUCGGCAGGGGAGACUGGAAUUCCUGGUGUAGCGGUGAAAUGCGCAGAUAUCAGGAGGAACACCGAUGGCGAAGGCAGGUCUCUGGGCUGACACUGACGCUCAUGCACGAAAGCGUGGGGAGCAAACAGG
This 254-nucleotide ribosomal RNA is filed under the name uncultured bacterium. Its description in RNAcentral is "partial 16S ribosomal RNA". It matches the Rfam family "Bacterial small subunit ribosomal RNA", at positions 524 to 776 of the family's 1533-position model. The record is from RNAcentral.